UUGACAUUUUAUCAAUAAGAUGGUAAAAUUUAAUCAUAUUGGGAUUACGGGAACCGAGUGAGAAUCUCGGACGGUCACGCCACUGUAUAUGAAGUCAGGAACCUAGUCUCAAAUAACGCACAGUU
Molecule: non-coding RNA, 125 nt
Filed under: Lachnospiraceae bacterium TWA4
Lineage: Bacteria; Bacillati; Bacillota; Clostridia; Lachnospirales; Lachnospiraceae
Also listed under: 1 other name
Source: RNAcentral